AGAGUUGAUCAGUGGCUCAGGACGAACGCUGGCGGCGUGCCUAACACAUGCAAGUCGAACGGACUGAUUCCCUUCGGGGAAGAAAGUUAGUGGCGGACGGGUGAGUAACGCGUGAGCAACCUGCCUUUCAGAGGGGGAUAACGUUUGGAAACGAACGCUAAUACCGCAUAACGCUGCGAAGUCGCAUGGCUUUGCAGCCAAAGGAGCAAUCCGCUGAAAGAUGGGCUCGCGUCCGAUUAGAUAGUUGGCAGGGUAACGGCCUACCAAGUCGACGAUCGGUAGCCGGACUGAGAGGUUGAUCGGCCACAUUGGGACUGAGACACGGCCCAGACUCCUACGGGAGGCAGCAGUGGGGAUAUUGCACAAUGGGCGCAAGCCUGAAUGCAGCAACGCCGCGUGAGGGAAGAAGGUUUUCGGAUUGUAAACCUCUGUCCUUGGUGACGAAGAAAGUGACGGUAGCCGAGGAGGAAGCCACGGCUAACUACGUGCCAGCCGCUGC
RNAcentral lists this ribosomal RNA (499 nucleotides) under uncultured bacterium. Its description in RNAcentral is "bacterial SSU rRNA". It matches the Rfam family "Bacterial small subunit ribosomal RNA", at positions 8 to 518 of the family's 1533-position model. The record is from RNAcentral.